Long non-coding RNA from Anguilla anguilla (European eel), 4529 nucleotides. RefSeq lists it as uncharacterized. The record is from RefSeq and is a predicted model, not a curated record. Lineage: Eukaryota; Metazoa; Chordata; Actinopteri; Anguilliformes; Anguillidae. The transcript has 2 exons.
UCCACUUGUGUCUAGUGAUGGGCGGGAAUCGGGAAUCGAUUCCAGGGAACCGGUUCCAAGCGCGGAACCGUCGAGCCAGUUUAAAAUUGUUGAACGUAACGAUUCCGGUUCUUCGUCGUCUUGUUCCAAGUUAUCCCUGCCUGAGUGCACUAUAGGUAAUAAUUAAAUGGACUACAUUUGGCAAAACAGAUAUGAAUGAGUUCAAAAGCAACUUCCGGCUACUUUUAAGAGAUUAUUGGAAAGCACAGUGACCAGUGACGCUUCACAUGACCGUGCAUGCUUGAAACAAGCAACGGAACGUGAGAGUGAAUCCGAUGCCUUUAAAAAUCAAAUUGUUGAAAUGAAGAAAGACGUUUGCUAUACAUUACAUGUAAAUAAAUGUGUUUAUUAAAUAGCUGCUUUAUGUCAGUGUGUUAGAUUUUACAUAAUGAUUUCACUUAUUCAUUCUAAUGGAACUUUAACCAAGAAUUCCUGUGUAUGUAGGCUCUUAUGCAGGGUCAAGUGCAGUGGUAUAAGCCUGGAGAUUAGUUGACACCAAUGAAUUAUAAAACUAUAUGCGAUUAAUGAUGACCUAUAUAUGGAAACUUAAACUAUGAAAAGGAAAGGUUGUUGGCAAAUCUGACCAGUGCAUGGUUUGUUUUGGAGAGUGGUUUCACUAUCCUAAUCAGUUAACAUUGGAAAUAAACAUAUUUGCUCUGUCAGAUCUGUCUGUCGGUUGUGUGCAGGGAAGCAAAAACCAUUUUGAAGUGGGAGAGUGGGCAAAGUUUUACAUAUGCCUAUUUUAGGCUCAGUUCCUGGGUGAAUUCAGGUAUUCUGGGACAUCAAGUAAUGUGGGACCUAUGCCUAAACUACCUAGACUUUUCCACCUCAAUAAUAAUGCUUACAUCAAGGAGACUUUGUUUAUGUUUUCAUAGAUUUAUUUCAUUAACAUCAGACAGAUUACAUUUUAUCAGACAAAAUACAAAGCAGUGCAUUGACUUUUGUCAGGAUUUCUUUAGACAUAGUUUUGAAAUGCAUCCAUUGCACUUAUAAUUAUGUUGAGUUUUGUUAUAAAUCCCAUUCAACCUUGUGACCACAGGACCUCAGGCCUUAUUGUUGUCCUCUAAAGAGUAAUUGCACUCACUGUUUCAGCCUGGCUCCUUUUAAACUGUGUGACCAUGAUUUUUGACCUCCUCACUGUAUGUGACAGAUGCGGUCUUGUCAUUUUGCUAUAGUGACAUAUAAAAACAUAUUAAAAAUAUGUGUUUUAAUAUGAAGGUUGAUAAUUUUGUCAGUGUGAUCAAUGCCUUUCUGUCAUACAGUUGAAAAUGAACAAUCAAUAUAAUAUAGGCCUGUGCACAGGACAUUGUAAUUUGACUUAACAAUGGUUGAGGUACGUCAGGGCUGGAUUGGCCUAUCGAGGCACAUAACUCGGACAUCCCCUUCUCCAGAGUAUGCAAUUUUGUUGGCUGGGAUGAGGAUACAGUUGGGCAUGUGAUCACCAAACCUAGAUGAAUGAAGACUGGAAGAACUUUGACUGGUCUGACAAAUCUUGAUUUAUGCUGCAACAUGGAGAUGGUCGGUUCAGAGUUUGGCAUAAACAGCUUGAAUUCAUGGAUCCAUCUUGUCUUGUGUCAAUGGUUCAGGCUGGUACUGAAAUGGUGUGGGGAAGGGGCAAGGCCAGAAAUCGCCAUUUGGUUAAGCUUAGGCAAAAUAGAGCAACGUUUGUAUGAAGAGAGGUAAAGAUUACGUAUUACUGAGAGAGGUUAGAUUUAGAAGGGAUAUUGCAGAUGGAGGGUUGAAAGUAGGGUACUAUUUUGUUUUCUUAUACACAGUUAGAAAAUAGCAUUUAAAAAUAUUAUGGGGAAAGAAAUAUGCAGCGAAAUGUACUACACACUCCGGUACAGUAGGUGGUGGUAUGCACCUUAAACAUUAUGUAAAUCCCGGCAUUACAUUCAACGAAGAAGAGGAUAAAGUUGUUCUGCGAUACGCCAUUAAAUGCAGAAGUUGUUCGCCCGAAGACUACAAUGGGCAAGACGUGUGAUCUAAGCGACUUUGACCGUGGUAUGAUUGUUGGUGCCAGACGUGGAGGUGCCAGCGUUUCAGAAACAGCUGCCCUUCUGGGAUUUUCACGCACUACAGUCUCUAGAGUGUACAGGGAAUGGUGCGAAAAACAAAAAACAUCCAGCGAGCGAAAAUUCUGUGGGCGAAAACACCUUGUUACUGAGACAGGUGAGAGGAUAAUCGACACAAUCGUUAAAGCGAACAGAAAGGCCACACAUGCUCAAAUAACUGCUGUCUACAAUAGUACUGUGCAGAAGAGCAUCUCUGAACGUACAACGCGUCGAACAUUAAAGCGGAUGGGCUACAGCAAGGCCGUACCGGAUUCCACUCCAUAAACUAAGAACAGGAAGAUCCCAGCGCAGAGCUGCUGUCAUGAGAUGGGAUUAGUUGGCCAGUGAAACAUCCAUCAGAAGUGCUGUCGCAGACCAGCUCAAGCAUGCACCAGGAAGAAGCAGGGGUGGGGGCUACAGGAAAGGGAAAUAACUUUAAAUAAGCUUAUAUGCACUCUCCAUUCAAAAAUGAAAAUUUAGUCAUUAUCUAUCUACUCUUAGGUCAGUUAAAACUGCACACUUAACACCCAGUGAGUUAUCUAAAUAUUAAAAGAAACAAAUAAACCUUGUUUGAACUAUACAUUUAAAGAAACAAUGCUACCUGACAAAUGUUUAAUAGGCUAAAAUUCCAGUGCCCUCCAAAAGAAUGCUAACGGUAGAGUCAAAUUUGUUAUUUUUGCUAUAUACAUUUGGAUUUUUGUACAUUGGCAUUUUGAUUUGAGAUCAAAAGUUGAAUAUGGGACAAAAUUAUAGUCUUUUAUUUCAUGGUAUUUACCUAUGUAUAUGUUUUACCAUUUUACAGAGGUAGCUGUUUUUGUGUUGAGUCCAAUGAGCCCCUACCAGGUUGGUGUGGUAGCAGUUAAUUUAACAUGAUUCAGGUAACUUGAGGACAAGUGGAACAAUGGAUGUCCAAUUCAUAGCCACUUAAGAUCUUGUCCCGGAUUCAUUUCGAGGCAGAACUUUAGCUGUUGAACUGUUUGUCAUGUGCUGCCACACAGUGGGAGGUAGUGGUAUUACAGCUAAUCAAAUGCUUUUUCAGUGUUCUCCAAAAAAUAUCAGCAGUUACCAUACCCUACAUUUAUUAAACAAUUACAUAUUUAGAGUUUGAAAUUAAUUUAGCAUGGACUGGGAGAAGAUUUUUUACCAUAAAAAUCAGAGAAACCUAACUCCUGUCACAUGUUAUGUUUCAUUUUUCUAUUUUUCCAUUAAUGAUCGCAGUAUUUCAAAAUGAAAUAAAAGCAUCUAAAGACGCCUGAAGGCUGAUGACACAAUAUUUCAGUGUGACAGUAAUAUCAUUGUAUUUUUCUAUGUAUUAUGUUACCUAAAGGAAGAAUUUUUAAACUUUUGCAUGGCUUGAUUUUGCUCUCUGGUAAGUAACUGCAACAGUCUAUUUUUCAAAGUGACUGCAUUCUUUAAAUUUCACCUUUCUGGCAUUAAGCAGAAACUCGUAUCCAGGGCGACUUGCACAGCUUACAGUCUUUACGCGCACUCCUCUUACACAGCUGGAUAUUUACUGAAGUGGUUCAGUUGAAGUAACUUGCUCAAGGGUACUAUGGCAGCGCCCCAUGUGGGAAUUGAAAGUUCAGGCACAGUGUCUUUCGGGCGAUUGGUAGCUAAUGAAUGUAUCACUGAGGAGGAUCCCUGUUAUAAUGUGCUUGUGCUACAAAACGGAAGCACGCUGGUCAGAAACAAAAUAAGAAAUAACAUGGUUUGAACAGUACAAUGCAGGCCUAGCUCUGGAUGGAAAGAGCAGUAGAAUAUGUCUUCUACCCCAUUGGAGAUUUGAUCGUGAUUACGAUUAUGACGUCAUUACUGUUGUUGUAUUUGUUAUUGCAGCAGUACCCAGCGUAAUAGUAGUAGUACCACAAUUAACUAAUUACUGUAGGUAGCAUGCUAUCUGUAACAAAAAUAGAAUUAAUGAAUUAACUAAUGAAUUACUAAUUUUCGAAAUACCAUGACUGAAUUUACACAUUAAAAGCUUUUUGAGGCUCCAGACUUUAAUUCUGGCUAAAAGAAAACACAACCAAUGUACACUAUAUAUUAUGUCUACAUUGAACCAGGAGCGUUUAAUUUGGGUUAUGACUUAGAAUUUCAGAUAAGAAAGAAGGUAGAAGAUGAAUAUAGUUUAGUUUUAAUUGUUAGUGACAUUGAUUCAGUAUCUGGCUUUCAACAAUUUAGCAUAAAUUUCAAAACGCCAGUUGGGUGAUGGGAUGUUACUGCAAAUACUGCAUUUGAAGAACCACAUUUUGAGUGUCAAAUGUAUGUGCAGUUAUUCUAAGGCCUGAUAUAUUGGUUAUUUUAAAGAAGACCUUUUUCCCAGUGUUCACAACCCAGUUAUCUUAAAAUCAGAGAGUGGACCAGUAGAAUGCUAUACUAUAGCACAAAUGAAAAUGAUCUUUGUUUAGAAUAAACAUAUGUGCUCUGCAGUUGUUUAAA